This 582-nucleotide ribosomal RNA is filed under the name uncultured bacterium. RNAcentral's name for it is "bacterial SSU rRNA". It matches the Rfam family "Bacterial small subunit ribosomal RNA", at positions 231 to 837 of the family's 1533-position model. The record is from RNAcentral.
CCGCGUCGGAUAGGAGUGGCAGGUAUUGGCCUACCAAGCCUACGAUCAUAGCUGGUCCAGAGGUGAUCAGCAACACUGGGACUGAGACACGGCCCAACUCCUACGGGAGGCAGCAGUGGGGAAUCUUAGACAAUGGGGGCAACCCUGAUCUAGCCAUGCCGCGUGAGUGAUGAAAGGCCCUAGGGUCGUAAAAGCUCUUUUCGCCUGUGAAGAUAAUGACGGUAGCAGGUAAAGAAACCCCGGCUAACUCCGUGCCAGCAGCCGCGGUAAUACGGAGGGGGUUAGCGUUGUUCGGAAUUACUGGGCGUAAAGCGCACGUAGGCGGACUAUUAAGUCGAGGGUGAAAUCCCGGGGCUCAACCCCGGAACUGCCUUCGAUACUGGUAGUCUUGAGUUCGAGAGAGGUGAGUGGAAUUCCGAGUGUAGAGGUGAAAUUCGUAGAUAUUCGGAGGAACACCAGUGGCGAAGCGGCUCACUGGCUCGAUACUGACGCUGAGGUGCGAAAGUGUGGGGAGCAAACAGGAUUAGAUACCCUGGUAGUCCACACCGUAAACGAUGAAUGCCAGUCGUCGGGUAGCAUGCU